RNAcentral lists this ribosomal RNA (597 nucleotides) under uncultured bacterium. Its description in RNAcentral is "bacterial SSU rRNA". It matches the Rfam family "Bacterial small subunit ribosomal RNA", at positions 338 to 947 of the family's 1533-position model. The record is from RNAcentral.
CCUACGGGAGGCAGCAGUGGGGAAUCUUGUGCAAUGGACGAAAGUCUGACACAGCCACGCCGCGUGCGGGAAGAAGGCCUUCGGGUUGUAAACCGCUUUCAGCAGGAACGAAAAUGACGGUACCUGCAGAAGAAGAUGCGGCCAACUACGUGCCAGCAGCCGCGGUGAUACGUAGGCAUCAAGCGUUGUCCGGAUUUAUUGGGCGUAAAGAGCUCGUAGGCGGUUCAGCAAGUCGGGUGUGAAAACUCUGGGCUUAACCCAGAGCCUGCACUCGAAACUGCUGUGACUAGAGUUCGGUAGGGGAGCAGGGAAUUCCUAGUGUAGCGGUGAAAUGCGCAGAUAUUAGGAGGAACACCAAUGGCGAAGGCACUGCUCUGGGCCGAUACUGACGCUGAGGAGCGAGAGCGUGGGUAGCAAACAGGAUUAGAUACCCUGGUAGUCCACGCCGUAAACGAUGGGCACUAGGUGUGGGUCUCUAACCAACGAGAUCUGCGCCGUCGCUAACGCAUUAAGUGCCCCGCCUGGGGAGUACGGUCGCAAGACUAAAACUCAAAGGAAUUGACGGCUGAGACGNGCGAGACGACGACGAGGAGGAGG